AGAGUUUGAUCCUGGCUCAGAUUGAACGCUGGCGGAAUGCUUUACACAUGCAAGUCGAGCGGCAGCGCGGGGGCAACCCUGGCGGCGGGCGGCGAACGGGUGAGUAACACAUAGGAACAUACCCAGUAAUGGGGGAUAACGCCGAGAAAUCGGUGCUAAUACCGCAUACGCCCUGAGGGGGAAAGCGGGGGAUCUUCGGACCUCGCGUUAUUGGAUUGGCCUAUGUCUGAUUAGCUAGUUGGUGGGGUAAAGGCCCACCAAGGCAUCGAUCAGUAGCUGGUCUGAGAGGAUGAUCAGCCACACUGGAACUGAGACACGGUCCAGACUCCUACGGGAGGCAGCAGUGGGGAAUUUUGGACAAUGGGCGAAAGCCUGAUCCAGCCAUUCCGCGUGAGUGAAGAAGG
Molecule: ribosomal RNA, 404 nt
Filed under: uncultured bacterium
Lineage: Bacteria
Description: bacterial SSU rRNA
Rfam family: Bacterial small subunit ribosomal RNA
Source: RNAcentral